Long non-coding RNA from Benincasa hispida (wax gourd), 2369 nucleotides. RefSeq lists it as uncharacterized. The record is from RefSeq and is a predicted model, not a curated record. Lineage: Eukaryota; Viridiplantae; Streptophyta; Magnoliopsida; Cucurbitales; Cucurbitaceae.
CAUCCGACUUCCCCCCAUUUUUUUCAUUUCCCUCUCUUCUCCUGAAAAACCCUCCCUUUCGUCGACUUCCACUUCAAUCUGUCAUCACCGAUCAUCCAUAGGAAAUCUGGAUCCACCAUAGUAGAUCUGGAUCCACCAUUUUUUUUCAUUUUUUUCAUUAAUCAGAUGCUACACAGGCGUUGACCGGAUCUGGAAUUUCGGAGCUGAAAGGCUUGACUGGACUGGCGGGUGAUUCUGCGCAGGUGAAGGUCUGGACCGGAUCUGGAACAAAGGAGCGUUAAGCUCACCAGAGGAACUCGGGUUGGGUAUAGAGAACCCGAUCUUAAAGCUCACCAGAGGAACUCACAUGGAGAAUAAAAGGUUGUGUCGAAGCUCACAGGAUCUAGCGUAGCCAUAGCAGAUUUACAGAUUUACAGAUUUACUUCACGCAUAGCCUAGCAGAUUUACAAAUUUACAGAUUUACUUCACGCAUAGCCAUAGCAGAUCUGGCGUUCUUCACGCGUAGGCAUAGUAGAUCUAGUCGUCUUCUUCUACGAGAUCCACCAUCCAUUCUGUCGAAGCCCAACCGUUCGUUCCAUUGUUGAAGGUCGGAGGGAGAUUAUGGAGCAGCAAAAGUAAUGCUAAGACCUGCUUCUCCUGGUACUGGUGUGAUUGCUGGUGGAGCAGUUAGAAUUGUCUUCGAAAUGGCAGGUGUUGAGAAUGCAUUAGGGAAGCAACUUGGAAGUAACAAUGCCCUCAACAAUGCCAGGGGCAACGGUGGUCGCCGUGCAGGAGAUGAAACAGUUUAGAGACGUCACGCAGGAGCGUGGCAUCCCCAUGGAAGAGUUGUGGAAAUGAAGAGGGAAAGGGUGAGAUUUUUCUUGUCUCAUUUUUUGCUUUGACGUAUAUUAGUGCAUCAAUAUUAUUAUCCGUUUUUUUUUUUUGCUUAAAUUUAUAUGUUUAAAGUUUGAAGGGUACUGAUUAAUGGUUUUUAUUUGUAUGUUGUGCGGAUGUUUAGGAGUGAAGCUUGAGGUUUUUUUUUUCUCCUUCUUUCUGUUGGGUUUCUACCAUUGCGGAAACAAAUAUUUGACAGAGAAGUUGGGGAAUUUUAAUGGUGAACAAUGUAUUUUCACACAAAUUAUACGUGACACCAUCUCAUCGACUGCCGCCGCACGCUACACUCUCAAAUCUUGCCGUGGAAGAUUUGAGGUUACGUUAAUGAUUUGUCGUGGAAGAUAUAUAUGCCGUGGAAGAUCAUCUCAUCAAGACGAAAAUGAUCUUAGGUUAUGUUAAAUAAAUCCUUUUUGGAGACUUUUAGUAAGGGGGAAUAGUUAUAAAUAUCCCUCAAAUGUUUUCAUCUUUCACAAUUAGCAUUCUGUUAGUUGGUCUAGUUUUUCUCGGUCCUUUCCGACCGAGAUCCAUCCCUGAGGGUUAUGUCUGAUAAUUUUCCCUUUAAUAGUAUCAUCGAAAUGUGAUAAAUAGAUCUGUAUUGUUACAUGCCAAAAUUUGUUUGUAGCAUCUCUGAUUUUGAUGUUUUAUAAUUACUUAUCUAUCAUUUCCUUGUUCUAGGUAUUUGUUUUUAAAUAUUGCCGAUACAUUCUAAUUUGUUUCCAUAUGGUUUCAGGUUAGAGAUAUGUGAUCCUAAGCCAUCAAUUUUAAGUUAUUAUAAGAAUGAACAUAUAUGUAGCCGCCCUUUGGGUCUCCGGUUUGACAAGAAGACAGGCGAUUUAUAUAUUGCAGAUGCAUACUUCAGGCUGAUAAAAGUCGAACCGGAAGGAGGUCUGGCAACAUCUCUUUCAACUGAAGCAGCAGGAGUGUCAUUCAAGUUCACCAAUGAUCUAGACCUUGAUGAAGAAGGGUAUGUGUACUUCACAGAUAGCAGCACCAAAUAACACCGAAGGAACUUCUUGCAGGUAGUUUUUUCUGCUGAGAACACUGGGAGAGUUUUGAAGUAUAAUGCUACUACAGGAAAAACCACUGUUCUUGUGAGAGAUGUUCAUUUAAUUUCAGUCAUAUUGUAGGAGGCAGAGCUUGCUAAAGAGAAGACUGAUGGGUACAAGCUGGAUAGAGCUCAUAUUUUCACAGUUAACAUGUUUGAGGACUUCGAAAGAUUUAUGAAAGUCCCAGAUGAGUGGGUCCCUCUUGAAAUUAGCCCACAUACUCCUGAGGUGUUUGGAAUGGGUGGGGAGGAGAUGGAUUUCUUGCAACAGCAAGGGUUCAGGUGAAAAUUGUUCCUGAUGCAAUAAAGGAGUAAAUAUUUGGUAUCGCAACCUUUUUAUACUUUUUCUUGGGGAACUUUAAAUCCAACACAUUCACUACAAGAAUUUUGCCUUGAAUAUACCAUUUAUGCACAUUCCCAAUAAACACGUGGUCAGACAAAGAUGCCUAUA